Non-coding RNA from Corynebacterium humireducens, 129 nucleotides. The record is from Rfam. Lineage: Bacteria; Bacillati; Actinomycetota; Actinomycetes; Mycobacteriales; Corynebacteriaceae.
GGCUUUUUUCGCGGCGGAGCUCGACCGCCCACAGAAAUAGUCGUGCGGUUCAUCGACACUUACCGCGUCGAGUUCGGGGUCGAGCCCAUCAUCCGCGUUCUGGCGACCACCACCGCGAAGAUUGCCCUG